This 83-nucleotide transfer RNA is filed under the name Rhodococcus sp. PBTS 1. RNAcentral's name for it is "tRNA-Val". Lineage: Bacteria; Bacillati; Actinomycetota; Actinomycetes; Mycobacteriales; Nocardiaceae. The record is from RNAcentral.
CUGACCCCUGCGCCACGACGGCGGCCGGCGAUCCUCACGGGGUCGCCGGCCGCUCGUGUGUUCGGGGUCGUGCCGCGUCAGUC